ACCAAGGCGACGAUCCGUAGCUGGUCUGAGAGGAUGAUCAGCCACACUGGGACUGAGACACGGCCCAGACUCCUACGGGAGGCAGCAGUGGGGGAAUAUUGGACAAUGGGGCGAAAGCCUGAUCCAGCCAUGCCGCGUGUGUGAAGAAGGCCUUCGGGUUGUAAAGCACUUUAAGUGGGGAGGAAAAGCGCUGCGUGAAUAUCGUAGUGCCGUGACGUUACCCACAGAAUAAGCACCGGCAAAACUCCGUGCCAGCAGCCGCGGUAAUACGGAGGGUGCGAGCGUUAAUCGGAAUUACUGGGCGUAAAGCGCACGUAGGCGGUUCUGUAAGUGGGGAUGUGAAAACCCCCGGGGCUUAACCUGGGACUUGCAUACCAGACUGCAAAGCUAGAGUAUGAGAGAGGGUGGUGGAAUUUCCGGUAGUAGCGGUGAAAUGCGUAGAGAUCGGAAGGAACAUCAGUGGCGAAG
RNAcentral lists this ribosomal RNA (468 nucleotides) under uncultured bacterium. RNAcentral describes it as "bacterial SSU rRNA". It matches the Rfam family "Bacterial small subunit ribosomal RNA", at positions 267 to 720 of the family's 1533-position model. The record is from RNAcentral.